CGUGACGUCACAGAUGAUAGAAAAACAACGCCGUAACGGCUCUCAUAGAUCUGUGACGUCACAGAUGAUAGAAACAACGCCGUAACUUCUGUAACAGGUCCGUGACGUCACAGAUGAUAGAAAAACAACGCCGUAACGUCUCUAAUAGAUCUGUGACGUCACAGAUGAUAGAAACAACGCCGUAACUUCUGUCACAGGUCCGUGACGUCACAGAUGAUAGAAACAACGCCGUAACUUCUGUCACAGGUCCGUGACGUCACAGAUGAUAGAAACAACGCCGUAAUUUCUGUCACAGGUCCGUGACGUCACAGAUGAUAGAAAAACAACGCCGUAACGUCUCUAAUAGAUCUGUGACGUCACAGAUGAUAGAAAAAACGCCGUAAUUUCUGUCACAGGUCCGUGACGUCACAGAUGAUAGAAAAACAACGCCGUAACGUCUCUAAUAGAUCUGUGACGUCACGGAUGAUAGAAACAACGCCGUAACUUCUGUCACAGGUCCGUGACGUCACAGAUGAUAGAAACAACGCCGUAAUUUCUGUCACAGGUCCGUGACGUCACAGAUGGUCGAAACAACGCCGUAAUUUCUGUCACAGGUCCGUGACGUCACAGAUGAUAGAAAAACAACGCCGUACCGUCUCUAAUAGAUCUGUGACGUCACAGAUGAUAGAGACAACGCCGUAAUUUCUGUCACAGGUCCGUGACGUCACAGAUGAUAGAAACAACGCCGUAAUUUCUGUCACAGGUCCGUGACGUCACAGAUGGUCGAAACAACGCCGUAAUUUCUGUCACAGGUCCGUGACGUCACAGAUGAUAGAAAAACAACGCCGUACCGUCUCUAAUAGAUCUGUGACGUCACAGAUGAUAGAGACAACGCCGUAAUUUCUGUCACAGGUCCGUGACGUCACAGAUGAUAGAAACAACGCCGUAAUUUCUGUCACAGGUCCGUGACGUCACAGAUGAUAGAAAAACAACGCCGUAACGUCUCUAGUAGAUCUGUGACG
Molecule: long non-coding RNA, 1001 nt
Organism: Vespula vulgaris
Lineage: Eukaryota; Metazoa; Arthropoda; Insecta; Hymenoptera; Vespidae
Exons: 5
Source: RefSeq, a predicted model, not a curated record